AUGGAAUGCUCCUUUACCAGAAUUACCGAAUCCCUCAGCAGAGGAAGGCCUUGCUGUCCCCGUUCUCGACGCCAGUGCGCAGUGUCUCCGAGAACUCCCUCGUGGCAAUGGAUUUUUCUGGGCAAACAGGACGCGUGAUAGAGAAUCCGGCAGAGGCCCAGAGCGCAGCCCUGGAGGAGGGCCACGCCUGGAGGGUAAGGCCCCGGCCCUGGCCAGCCUGGAGGGGCACCCUCAAGGUGGUAGCCCCACCACGUGGUCUUCUCCCAGAGGAACAGCUCUAUGCGGGUUGGCAAGAGGGGUGCCAUGUUGGGUGGGGUGAGUUCUCAGCUGCAGGAAGCAGUUGGCCCUUCUAGGCCCCUUCCAUGUUCCCAGCACCCAGCCUUUCCCCGCUGUCCCCUGUCCCCUGGGCUUUCAUGGAAGGGACAGGAGAGGAACAGAGUUCUCUGCCCUCCGUGGCUCCUAUGCAGAACUGUUCUGCUGAUGAACUGGCAGUGGCUGUCUGUGGAGUGCACAGAGCCCAGGCCUGAGUGGGGCCAGCAGGUGCUCACAUCAAGGUCUGCUACUAACAGCCUGGA
RNAcentral lists this long non-coding RNA (575 nucleotides) under Homo sapiens (human). RNAcentral's name for it is "non-protein coding lnc-DDC-4:2". Lineage: Eukaryota; Metazoa; Chordata; Mammalia; Primates; Hominidae. The record is from RNAcentral.